This 253-nucleotide ribosomal RNA is filed under the name uncultured bacterium. RNAcentral's name for it is "partial 16S ribosomal RNA". It matches the Rfam family "Bacterial small subunit ribosomal RNA", at positions 524 to 776 of the family's 1533-position model. The record is from RNAcentral.
UACGAAGGGGGCUAGCGUUGCUCGGAAUCACUGGGCGUAAAGCGCACGUAGGCGGAUUGCUAAGUCAGGGGUGAAAUCCUGGAGCUCAACUCCAGAACUGCCCUUGAUACUGGCGGUCUCGAGUCCGGGAGAGGUGAGUGGAACUGCGAGUGUAGCGGUGAAAUGCGUAGAGACUCGGAAGAACACCAGUGGCGAAGGCGGCUACCUGGACGGGUACUGACGCUGCAGCGCGAAAGCUAGGGGAGCAAACAGG